Molecule: long non-coding RNA, 557 nt
Filed under: Papio anubis (olive baboon)
Lineage: Eukaryota; Metazoa; Chordata; Mammalia; Primates; Cercopithecidae
Description: lncRNA (ENSPANG00000049142.1)
Source: RNAcentral
UGUAUAUAUGCUAUAUUUAAACCCUCUACAUAAGUGGAAUUAUACUGUGCUGUAAAUUACUUUUUCCACUCAAAAUUGUUUUUGCGCCAAUUAAGAUGUUUGGCAGAUUUUGUUUUCCUAAAUGGCUGUGACAGUUUUUUCCAUCUUAUAUGCUUUUCUUACCAUGUGACUUUGAUACUCCUCUUGAGAGAUGUCUGGGGGUCCCCUCCUCCUGAAUCUGGGUGGGGAACUUUGGAUUGCUCUUACUAAAAGAAUACAGCAGAAAUGAUGCUUUGUGAUUUCUGAAGUUUAUUCUAUACUGAGGAGGACGAAACUCCAAAAGUUCAGGAUCACAAGCUCUUCAGCAGGAACUCACCCCUGUUUUCUUCAACAGCCUUCCGUACUGAUCUUUGGUCCUCCUUAAAACUGAUUUUAUCGGAGAUGCAUAGAAUGGUGGAUCUAUGAGAUAUUGCAGAUUUUACAAAUUGAAGGUUUGUGACAACUCCCUCAAGGAAGUCUGUUGGUGUUAUUUUUCCAACAGCAGGUACUCCAUGUCUGUGUCACAUUUUGGCCUUUAA